GAAUCCGUACCUAUGUUGUCCGAAGAUAAGAGUCACUGGAAUGUGGAAAAAUUAAUGGAACCAGUAACACAGCCUGCUUGCCAAAUUCACUACACCCAUAAUUACCAUUGGGUCGUGUCGAUUUUGCAUGAUAAUCAAAUAUUUCUAUUGGACAGCUUAGGUAACGAUCGUUCUAGAGACAGAUUAAUACCACAUGGCCUUCAAAUACAACUUUCAGUAUUAUAUGGUAAAGACAAAGAAUACAUAGAUAUCACAAUUCCGACCGUGAUGAAACAAAACAAUAAUGUUGAUUGUGGAGUUAAUGCCAUUGCCUUUGCUACCCAGUAUUGCCUCAAUAAGCAAUUGGAAUUCGAAAUAAUUUUUGAUUCUUCUAAAAUGAGAUCGCACUUGAUGCACUGCUUCGAGCAAGAAGAGAUAUCUCUUUUU
Dreissena polymorpha is the source of this 426-nucleotide long non-coding RNA. RefSeq lists it as uncharacterized. The record is from RefSeq and is a predicted model, not a curated record. NCBI's taxonomy places the organism in Eukaryota, Metazoa, Mollusca, Bivalvia, Myida, Dreissenidae. The transcript is spliced from 2 exons.